Molecule: microRNA precursor, 68 nt
Filed under: Dasypus novemcinctus (nine-banded armadillo)
Lineage: Eukaryota; Metazoa; Chordata; Mammalia; Cingulata; Dasypodidae
Description: miRNA (ENSDNOG00000029717.1)
Source: RNAcentral
ACCAUCGUCUUGGUUUGCCUGGGACCGAGGGGCUCCCCGGGACAUGGGACCUUCGGUGCUACGACUGG